AAGAAAAACAGACAAGAUUUCUCAAGAAGACAGAAAAGGCCAAUAAAGGGUUUUUAAAAAGUCAAUUUUAGAAAUACUCAAGCAGAAAGAAGAAAUUGCCCUGUUAAGGAGCUGGACAUAAUGAUCUUUCCCACGCCACCUCUGGUCCACCCCCCUUGUGGCUCUGUAAAUUUGCUUCAUAAUUAAGCCACCAGCUGGUGGUGGCUCUGUCUGGUCCCAGCACUAUACCCUCAUCCCUGGCCAAUUUUGAUUUGGAUGAUUCAGACAGAGAGAGUGGCAUCUGACCUCGAGUAGGAGCAGCGAGGGGUUACCAGAAAUGACCUUGAUCUCUUAAUUUUACACUUCUGCCAAUACUGUGGGGAGCCUGGAGAAAGUAACCGAGACAGAGUCUCGCUAUGUUGCCCAGGCUGGAGUGCAAUGGUGUCAUCUCAGCUCACUACAACCUCUGCCUCUCGGGUUCAAGCAAUUCUCAUGCCUCAGCCUCCUGAGUAGCUGGGAUUACAGGCACAUACCACCACGCCCAGAACUUGUCAGAUAUGCUCUCCCAGCCCUUCAUACUAAGGACAAUGGGUACUUGCCCAAGCCCAUCCACCAUUCUGUCAGUCGCAUCCUGAGAAGAGAUCAGAGAAGAUUCCCUCCUAGACCACGCAAAAUAGACCGAUC
Molecule: long non-coding RNA, 663 nt
Organism: Symphalangus syndactylus (siamang)
Lineage: Eukaryota; Metazoa; Chordata; Mammalia; Primates; Hylobatidae
Source: RefSeq, a predicted model, not a curated record